This 207-nucleotide ribosomal RNA is filed under the name uncultured bacterium. Its description in RNAcentral is "partial 16S ribosomal RNA". It matches the Rfam family "Bacterial small subunit ribosomal RNA", at positions 568 to 774 of the family's 1533-position model. The record is from RNAcentral.
CGUGUAGGCGGCUUGUUAAGUCGAGUGUGAAAGUCCUGGGCUCAACCCAGGAAGUGCGCUUGAUACUGGCAAGCUAGAGUAUGGGAGAGGGUAGUGGAAUUCCUGGUGUAGAGGUGAAAUUCGUAGAUAUCGGGAGGAACACCAGUGGCGAAGGCGGCUACCUGGACCAAUACUGACGCUGAGACGCGAAAGCGUGGGUAGCAAACA